Molecule: ribosomal RNA, 490 nt
Filed under: uncultured bacterium
Lineage: Bacteria
Description: partial 16S ribosomal RNA
Rfam family: Bacterial small subunit ribosomal RNA
Source: RNAcentral
GAUGAACGCUAGCGAUAGGCUUAACACAUGCAAGUCGAGGGGCAGCAUGGUCUUAGCUUGCUAAGACUGAUGGCGACCGGCGCACGGGUGCGUAACGCGUAUGCAACUUGCCUCACAGAGGGGGAUAACCCGUCGAAAGACGGACUAAUACCGCGUACACUUGGGAUAGGGCAUCCUGACCCAAGGAAAUGAAAUUCGCUGUGAGAUAGGCAUGCGUCCCAUUAGCUAGUUGGUGAGGUAACGGCCCACCAAGGCGACGAUGGGUAGGGGAACUGAGAGGUUGAACCCCCACACUGGUACUGAGACACGGACCAGACUCCUACGGGAGGCAGCAGUGAGGAAUAUUGGUCAAUGGGCGAGAGCCUGAACCAGCCAAGUCGCGUGAAGGAUGACUGUCUUAUGGAUUGUAAACUUCUUUUAUACGGGAAUAACAAGAGCCACGUGUGGCUCCCUGCAUGUACCGUAUGAAUAAGCAUCGGCUAACUCCGUG